Olea europaea var. sylvestris is the source of this 1166-nucleotide long non-coding RNA. RefSeq lists it as uncharacterized. Lineage: Eukaryota; Viridiplantae; Streptophyta; Magnoliopsida; Lamiales; Oleaceae. The transcript has 2 exons. The record is from RefSeq and is a predicted model, not a curated record.
CCCAGCCUAUUCCUGGAUCUGCCCAUGCCCACCACCUCACAAUGUCAUUGGCUAAUUUAGCAUCCCCUUGACAAAUUUUCAAGUCAAUCCCAUAAUAAUAAACAUGUAUAAAUUAUUUAUGGGUUAGAAGCUAUUUAGUGUAAGCAUAGAUAUCGUCCUUCGGGACCAGUAGUGCAAGAACACUUGACUUGAGCCAUCGGGUUCUUAUUUUCCUUAUAUCGAUAUGCUAUAUCAGUGUGUCCCAAUUCCUCUAGUUAUAAAGAACCAAAUGGGUAAUGAAGUUGCAACAAUUGAUUUCUUUGGGAGUUCCUGUCGGUAUUGAAAACGUUAUUAGUUCCUUGAUUCAUUCCGUGGCGCUAAAUUGCUAUUUCGAUUGGACUGAUCUUUUCUCUCUCUUUCCUUUCUUUCACGAGCAAAUCUGAGAACCAAAGUGUUCCUUUGCAAGGGUUGAGACCAACAUGCGACUUAGGUUAUAGGGUGAGGACCAACACUACGACGUUUGAACAAUUACUUUGCACUCCUUAGUUUUCACAUGCAAAUAAUUAAUGCACAAGUUGUUUAAUAUAAUUCAUGGUUAUCCAUGCACCUCCUUUAUCCUCUGGAGACCACUGCCUAAAUCUUGAGGGAGUUUUCGGUUGAGCAUUAAUUGAAUAUGGUUGUUGAUAUUGCCAAUUGUACCUCGCAUGUGGUUGAGUUGACCCUUUACAUGCAGGUAUUUACAUUCAUCAAUGAUGAUCAAAGUUAAUGAUAAGCAACAUUGCUCUUGAACUUUUGGGAAGAACGACAAGAUUGAAUGAAUCAUGUUACUCAUCAUUACUUGAUUGGAAGAGGCCCAUCAUGAGAUGACCGAGUUGGUGAAGUAAGUGAGCGCGGAGGCCUUUGAUCACGAGUUUAAUUUCCCUUACCAACAUUUUUUUGGUCAAGCAUAUCGUACAGGACUUGUCUAGUGCGAUUUAUCUAGAUGACGUGAUUUGUAGACUAUUAUGUCAGCUUGUGAGUUUAUCCAGUGCACAUUUGAAGGAUAGCAAUUGUAGAUUCUCCAGUCAUUAAAAAAAAACAAAAGGAUUGGAAGGGAGAGAGGGAAAAAAAGAAGUACACUUUAAACUGCUGACUGGAAAAGAAAGAAAAGGCUUUGGUCCAACCACAAUAAGUGGCUUCUAAGUGUC